GUACUUUCAGUCGGGAGGAAGUGCAGUUGAUGCUAAUAUCAUCAACGAUUGACGUUACCGACAGAAGAAGCACCGGCUAACUCCGUGCCAGCAGCCGCGGUAAUACGGAGGGUGCAAGCGUUAAUCGGAAUUACUGGGCGUAAAGCGCACGCAGGCGGUUGAUUAAGUUAGAUGUGAAAUCCCCGGGCUUAACCUGGGAAUGGCAUCUAAGACUGGUCAGCUAGAGUCUUGUAGAGGGGGGUAGAAUUCCAUGUGUAGCGGUGAAAUGCGUAGAGAUGUGGAGGAAUACCGG
This 292-nucleotide ribosomal RNA is filed under the name Providencia sp. FB6Da. RNAcentral's name for it is "partial 16S ribosomal RNA". It matches the Rfam family "Bacterial small subunit ribosomal RNA", at positions 430 to 712 of the family's 1533-position model. Lineage: Bacteria; Pseudomonadati; Pseudomonadota; Gammaproteobacteria; Enterobacterales; Morganellaceae. The record is from RNAcentral.